RNAcentral lists this ribosomal RNA (487 nucleotides) under uncultured bacterium. RNAcentral describes it as "bacterial SSU rRNA". It matches the Rfam family "Bacterial small subunit ribosomal RNA", at positions 28 to 512 of the family's 1533-position model. The record is from RNAcentral.
GAUGAACGCUAGCGGCAGGCCUAAUACAUGCAAGUCGAACGAGAUUGAGGAGCUUGCUCCUCAUGAAAGUGGCGCACGGGUGCGUAACGCGUAUGCAAUCUACCUUAAUCAGGGGGAUAGCCCGGAGAAAUCCGGAUUAAUACCGCAUAUCGUUAUUUUAUGGCAUCAUAGAAUAACCAAACAUUUAUGGGAUUAAGAUGAGCAUGCGUGACAUUAGUUAGUUGGUGAGGUAACGGCUCACCAAGACUACGAUGUCUAGGGGAUCUGAGAGGAUGACCCCCCACACUGGUACUGAGACACGGACCAGACCCCUACGGGAGGCAGCAGUAAGGAAUAUUGGUCAAUGGGCGCAAGCCUGAACCAGCCAUGCCGCGUGCAGGAAGACGGCCCUAUGGGUUGUAAACUGCUUUUAUUCGGGAAUAAACCUCUUUACGUGUAAGGAGCUGAAUGUACCGAAGGAAUAAGGAUCGGCUAACUCCGUGCCAGC